UACGGAAGGUGCAAGCGUUGUUCGGAAUGACUGGGCGUAAAGCGCACGUAGGCGGCUCUGUAAGUCGGAUGUGAAAGCCCCGGGCUCAACCUGGGAACUGCAUCCGAAACUACGGAGCUUGAAUGCUUGAGAGGUUGGUGGAAUUCCAGGUGUAGGAGUGAAAUCCGUAGAUAUCUGGAGGAACACCGGAGGCGAAGGCGGCCAACUGGCAAUGCAUUGACGCUGAGGUGCGAAAGCGUGGGGAGCAAACAGG
This 253-nucleotide unclassified non-coding RNA is filed under the name uncultured Oligoflexaceae bacterium. RNAcentral's name for it is "contains 16S-23S intergenic spacer region". It matches the Rfam family "Bacterial small subunit ribosomal RNA", at positions 524 to 776 of the family's 1533-position model. The record is from RNAcentral. Lineage: Bacteria; Pseudomonadati; Bdellovibrionota; Oligoflexia; Oligoflexales; Oligoflexaceae.